CAAUAGCGUAUAUUAAAGUUGUUGCGGUUAAAAGCUCGUAGUUGGAUUUCUGCCGAGGACGACCGGUCCGCCCUCUGGGUGAGUAUCUGGCUCGGCCUGGGCAUCUUCUUGGAGAACGUAGCUGCACUUGACUGUGUGGUGCGGUAUCCAGGACUUUUACUUUGAGGAAAUUAGAGUGUUUCAAGCAGGCACACGCCCUGAAUACAUUAGCAUGGAAUAAUAUGAUAGGACUUUGGUUCUAUUUUGUUGGUUUCUAGAACUGAAGUAAUGAUUAAUAGGGACAGUCGGGGGCAUUCGUACUUAACUGUCAGAGGUGAAAUUCUUGGAUUUGUUAAAGACGAACUACUGCGAAAGCAUUUGCCAAGGAUGUUUUCAUUGAUCAAGAACGAAAGUUAGGGGAUCGAAGAUGAUUAGAUACCAU
This 421-nucleotide ribosomal RNA is filed under the name uncultured eukaryote. Its description in RNAcentral is "SSU rRNA". It matches the Rfam family "Eukaryotic small subunit ribosomal RNA", at positions 592 to 1018 of the family's 1831-position model. The record is from RNAcentral.